This 72-nucleotide transfer RNA is filed under the name Colletotrichum noveboracense. Its description in RNAcentral is "tRNA-Pro". It matches the Rfam family "tRNA". From Rfam's summary of the family: Transfer RNA (tRNA) molecules are approximately 80 nucleotides in length. Their secondary structure includes four short double-helical elements and three loops (D, anti-codon, and T loops). The record is from RNAcentral. Lineage: Eukaryota; Fungi; Ascomycota; Sordariomycetes; Glomerellales; Glomerellaceae.
GGCCUGAUGGUCUAGUGGUACGAUUCUCGCUUUGGGUGCGAGAGGCCCCGGGUUCGAACCCCGGUCAGGCCC